This 108-nucleotide ribosomal RNA is filed under the name Spiranthera guianensis. RNAcentral describes it as "partial 5.8S ribosomal RNA". It matches the Rfam family "5.8S ribosomal RNA", at positions 52 to 154 of the family's 154-position model. From Rfam's summary of the family: 5.8S ribosomal RNA (5.8S rRNA) is a component of the large subunit of the eukaryotic ribosome. Lineage: Eukaryota; Viridiplantae; Streptophyta; Magnoliopsida; Sapindales; Rutaceae. The record is from RNAcentral.
UAUGCGAUACUUGGUGUGAAUUGCAGAAUCCCGUGAACCAUCGAGUCUUUGAACGCAAGUUGCGCCCCAAGCCGUCAGGCCGAGGGCACGUCUGCCUGGGUGUCACGC